AUUCCCACAGAAAAUUCUAAAUCUUCUGUUUUCGCUCCGAUUUCAGCACAGGUCAUUCCCAACCUAUAUUUCACUUCUCUAAAUCCAAUAAAAAUAGUAUCUCAUACUAUUUUUAUUUAUUUUUAUUUUUAUAUUUAAAUCUGGUAUAUUAUAUUACACCGCAACCUCACCGGAACUAUUUAAAUGUACACCGUAACUUCAUAUUUUUUAGAAGUCCGGUACCUU
This 225-nucleotide long non-coding RNA is filed under the name Ananas comosus (pineapple). Its description in RNAcentral is "long non-coding RNA (ACOM_LNC040526)". The record is from RNAcentral. Lineage: Eukaryota; Viridiplantae; Streptophyta; Magnoliopsida; Poales; Bromeliaceae.